ACCUGGGUGGCUUAGUCGGUUAAGUGUCUGACUUUGGCUCAGGUCAUGAUCUUGAAGUUUGUGGGUUCGAGCCCCACCUCAGCUC
Non-coding RNA from Felis catus (domestic cat), 85 nucleotides. The record is from Rfam. NCBI's taxonomy places the organism in Eukaryota, Metazoa, Chordata, Mammalia, Carnivora, Felidae.